AUCACUUCUUGGGCCUUUUGGCUAAGAUUAAGUGUAGAAUCUGUUCUUAUCAGUUUAAUAUCUGAUACAUCAUCUAUCUGAUGACAGCAUAUUAAAUGGAUUUUUGCACUAGAAAAUGGAAUAGGAGCUUGUUCCAUCUAUUCCAUGCAUCGACCUGGUAUCACAGUACCUCCAGGAACAGUGCACCAAAA
This is a small nuclear RNA of Suncus etruscus (white-toothed pygmy shrew), 191 nucleotides long. RefSeq annotates it as U2 spliceosomal RNA. Lineage: Eukaryota; Metazoa; Chordata; Mammalia; Eulipotyphla; Soricidae. The transcript has a single exon. The record is from RefSeq and is a predicted model, not a curated record.